Molecule: ribosomal RNA, 403 nt
Filed under: uncultured prokaryote
Description: bacterial SSU rRNA
Rfam family: Bacterial small subunit ribosomal RNA
Source: RNAcentral
UGAGGAAUAUUGGGCAAUGGGCGGAAGCCUGACCCAGCAACGCCGCGUGAAGGAAGACGGCCUUCGGGUUGUAAACUUCUUUUUUGGGGGAAGAGAGAGGACGGUACCCCAAGAAUAAGUCACGGCUAACUACGUGCCAGCAGCCGCGGUAAUACGUAGGUGACAAGCGUUAUCCGUAAUUACUGGGCGUAAAGCGAACGCAGGCGGUGCGUUAAGUCGGACGUGAAAUUUCCCGGCUUAACUGGGAGGGGUCGUUGGAGACUGGCGUGCUUGAGGCGAUGAGAGGGGUGUAGAAUUCCCGGUGUAGUGGUGGAAUGCGUAGAUAUCGGGAGGAAUACCAGUGGCGGAAGCGACACUCUGGCAUUAGCCUGACGCUGAGGUGCGAAGGCGUGGGGAGCGAACG